This 164-nucleotide ribosomal RNA is filed under the name Bignonia capreolata. RNAcentral describes it as "5.8S ribosomal RNA". It matches the Rfam family "5.8S ribosomal RNA". From Rfam's summary of the family: 5.8S ribosomal RNA (5.8S rRNA) is a component of the large subunit of the eukaryotic ribosome. It is transcribed by RNA polymerase I as part of the 45S precursor that also contains 18S and 28S rRNA. The record is from RNAcentral. Lineage: Eukaryota; Viridiplantae; Streptophyta; Magnoliopsida; Lamiales; Bignoniaceae.
AAAAUGACUCUCGGCAACGGAUAUCUCGGCUCUCGCAUCGAUGAAGAACGUAGCGMRAUGCGAUACUUGGUGUGAAUUGCAGAAUCCCGUGAACCAUCGAGUCUUUGAACGCAAGUUGCGCCCGAAGCCGUUAGGCCGAGGGCACGUCUGCCUGGGCGUCUCGC